RNAcentral lists this ribosomal RNA (486 nucleotides) under uncultured Methanosaeta sp. Its description in RNAcentral is "bacterial SSU rRNA". It matches the Rfam family "Archaeal small subunit ribosomal RNA", at positions 852 to 1338 of the family's 1478-position model. Lineage: Archaea; Methanobacteriati; Methanobacteriota; Methanomicrobia; Methanotrichales; Methanotrichaceae. The record is from RNAcentral.
AAACUUAAAUGAAUUGACGGGGAGCACCACGAACGGGUGGAGCUUGCGGUUUAAUUGGAUUCAACGCCGGAAAUCUUACCGGGACCGACAGCAAUAUGAAGGCCAGGCUGAAGGCUUUGCCGGAUUAGCUGAGAGGUGGUGCAUGGCCGUCGUCAGUUCGUACUGUGAAGCAUCCUGUUAAGUCAGGCAACGAGCGAGACCCACGCCCACAGUUGCCAGCGUACUCUCUGGAGUGACGGGUACACUGUGGGACCGCCGCUGCUAAAGCGGAGGAAGGAAUGGGCAACGGUAGGUCAGUAUGCCCCGAAUAUCCCGGGCUACACGCGAGCUACAAUGGUUGGUACAAUGGGUAUCUACCCCGAAAGGGGACGGGAAUCUCCUAAAACCAAUCUUAGUUCGGAUUGAGGGCUGCAACUCGCCCUCAUGAAGCUGGAAUCCGUAGUAAUCGCGUUUCAACAGAACGCGGUGAAUACGUCCCUGCUCCUU